This 402-nucleotide ribosomal RNA is filed under the name uncultured bacterium. Its description in RNAcentral is "bacterial SSU rRNA". It matches the Rfam family "Bacterial small subunit ribosomal RNA", at positions 355 to 774 of the family's 1533-position model. The record is from RNAcentral.
UGGGGAAUAUUGGACAAUGGGGGCAACCCUGAUCCAGCCAUGCCGCGUGAGUGAUGAAGGCCUUCGGGUUGUAAAGCUCUUUUGGCGGGGACGAUGAUGACGGUACCCGCAGAAUAAGCCCCGGCUAACUUCGUGCCAGCAGCCGCGGUAAGACGAAGGGGGCAAGCGUUGUUCGGAAUUACUGGGCGUAAAGGGCGCGUAGGCGGUUUGCUUAGUCAGGCGUGAAAGCCCUGGGCUUAACCUGGGAUGUGCGCUUGAUACUGGCAGGCUUGAGUACAGUUGAGGUAGGCGGAAUGUGUCAUGUAGCGGUGAAAUGCUUAGAUAUGACACAGAACACCGAUUGCGAAGGCAGCUUGCUAAGCUGUAACUGACGCUGAGGCACGAAAGCGUGGGGAGCAAACA